UGUACAGUUCAGAGAUAAAGAAAUAGAAUCUGAUCUUGAAAUAUUUUCCCAUAUCCUACUGCAUUUCUUUUGAUAAUUAGAUGCAAAAUUCCACCAUUAAAAAGAGGUAGUAGUUUACGUUCACAUCUCAUGGAAUUAAAUGACUCAUCAAAGUGUAAUGCAGGAAUGAGGCUGCAAAACCACAACGGUGAUUGGGAUCCACCAUUACAGUAAUAGGUGCUUCAGAUGGUAUGAGCCAGCAGGGCAGGUUGUCCUUUUGGUUAGUAUCUUCUAGUAUGGAGGGAAAUUUAGCAUGAAAUACUAGGACAAUGGUUGAAUCUCUUGGGAAAACCAUAUAAUUUCAUUUAAAGUCAUUAUGCAUUCAUCAAACCCUUUUUUUUUUUUUUUAAUGGAGCACAUGUAAAUCCAAGUUAAUUUAUUUCUCUUUCUAUUCAGUAACUUCCCCUCUCCCCCAUCUUUCUUUUAUCUCCUCCAACCCCAAGCCUAAGAAGAAUGGAAAUUCUUGCUGUGAUCAGUCCAUUAUAAGAAGAUUGCAUAUAGAUUAAGAAACAGAGGAUUUGUGGAGGACUCAAAUUUGCAGAAGGUUGAAGACUCAUUUAAGGACACUUGGAAGCCUUUUAUGGAUUAUAUAUACAAAACAGAUGUUGCAUCUUAGAAAAACUGGGUCUGCAGAGCCCAAGAUGGAAGAUCCCUUUAUGUUCUCACUUUAAGCCCAGAGCCUUCAUGGGAAGAAGUCUGUAUUUUAUUGUAACUACUACUUCUUCAAAGGCCUUGCUAAUUCUCCAUUUUCCUUAAGGCAACUUAUAUAUUCUAGGGAGUUGACAGAGAUCCUCAGACCCUUCAGAAGCCAAGGACUGUGUCUUAGGGUUUUAGAAUUAAAACAAAGUUAAUUUAUUGCUUAGAUGCACUGAAUUAAAGGGAAGUGGUUCUUCAAAUUUUUGUUUUCUGUAUUUAUACUUGCAUUUCCUGCCACUAGGACUACUCCACAAGUUUCUUCUUCAUCUCUGCUUUUUAACCUAGCUACGACCAUUAUUUGGCAACUUACCUGUUUUGGAAUACUGCCAUUUAUUUCUUAUAUUUGCUGAUCUCUGUUUAAGUAUGUUGAACAUUUAAUUUGGAGGAUCAAAUUUUUAUCUAUGGCUUUUACCACCUGAUUGCUUGUUGUUGGAUCACAGUGGAUAGCUGUAGGUAAUUAAUUCCUUUAUUUC
Molecule: long non-coding RNA, 1208 nt
Filed under: Anas platyrhynchos platyrhynchos (common mallard)
Lineage: Eukaryota; Metazoa; Chordata; Aves; Anseriformes; Anatidae
Description: lncRNA (ENSAPLG00000023722.1)
Source: RNAcentral